GCACAAGCGUUGGAGUAUGUGGUUAAUUCGAAGCAACGCGAAGAACCUUACCAGGGCUUGACAUCCCGCUGACCGGUGUAGAGAUACACUUUUCCCUUCGGGGACAGCGGUGACAGGUGGUGCAUGGUUGUCGUCAGCUCGUGUCGUGAGAUGUUGGGUUAAGUCCCGCAACGAGCGCAACCCUUAUUGUUAGUUGCUACGCAAGAGCACUCUAACGAGACUGCCGUUGACAAAACGGAGGAAGGUGGGGACGACGUCAAAUCAUCAUGCCCCUUAUGUCCUGGGCCACACACGUACUACAAUGGCGGUCAACAAAGAGAGGCAAAACCGCGAGGUGGAGCAAAUCUCAAAAAGCCGUCCCAGUUCGGAUUGCAGGCUGCAACCCGCCUGCAUGAAGUUGGAAUCGCUAGUAAUCGCGGAUCAGCAUGCCGCGGUGAAUACGUUCCCGGGCCUUGUACACACCGCCCGUCACACCAUGAGAGUCGGGGACACCCGAAGUCCGUAGCCUAACCGCAAGGGGGGCGCGGCCGAAGGUGGAUUCGAUAAUUGGGGUGAAGUCGUAACAAGGUAACCGU
RNAcentral lists this ribosomal RNA (575 nucleotides) under uncultured bacterium. RNAcentral's name for it is "bacterial SSU rRNA". It matches the Rfam family "Bacterial small subunit ribosomal RNA", at positions 923 to 1503 of the family's 1533-position model. The record is from RNAcentral.